AAUAUUGGACAAUGGGGUCAACUCUGAUGCAGACAUGCCGCGUGUGUGAAGAAGGUUUUCGGAUUGAAACGCACUUCAAGGUGGGAGGAAGGGCUUUAGGCUAAUACCCUGAAGUUUUGACGUUACCAACAGAAUGAGCACAGGCUACCUCUGUGCCAGAAGCCGAGGUAAUACAGAGAGUGCAAGUGUUAAUCGGAAUUACUGGGCGUAAAGCGAGCUGGGGUGGGUCAGUAAGAUGGGUGUGAAGUCCCCAGGCUUAACCUGGGAACUGCUUUCAUAACUGCUGAGCUAGAGUACGGUAGAGGAUAGUGGAAUUUCCUGUAUAGAGGUGAAAUGCGUAGAUAUAGGAAUGAACACCAGUGGCGAAGGCGACUACCUGAACUGAUACUGACACUGAAGUGCGGAAGCGUGGGGAGCAAACA
This 422-nucleotide ribosomal RNA is filed under the name uncultured bacterium. RNAcentral's name for it is "partial 16S ribosomal RNA". It matches the Rfam family "Bacterial small subunit ribosomal RNA", at positions 360 to 774 of the family's 1533-position model. The record is from RNAcentral.